This 478-nucleotide ribosomal RNA is filed under the name Streptococcus mutans. Its description in RNAcentral is "bacterial SSU rRNA". It matches the Rfam family "Bacterial small subunit ribosomal RNA", at positions 28 to 481 of the family's 1533-position model. Lineage: Bacteria; Bacillati; Bacillota; Bacilli; Lactobacillales; Streptococcaceae. The record is from RNAcentral.
GACGAACGCUGGCGGCGUGCCUAAUACAUGCAAGUGGGACGCAAGGAAACACACUGUGCUUGCACACCGUGUUUUCUUGAGUCGCGAACGGGUGAGUAACGCGUAGGUAACCUGCCUAUUAGCGGGGGAUAACUAUUGGAAACGAUAGCUAAUACCGCAUAAUAUUAAUUAUUGCAUGAUAAUUGAUUGAAAGAUGCAAGCGCAUCACUAGUAGAUGGACCUGCGUUGUAUUAGCUAGUUGGUAAGGUAAGAGCUUACCAAGGCGACGAUACAUAGCCGACCUGAGAGGGUGAUCGGCCACACUGGGACUGAGACACGGCCCAGACUCCUACGGGAGGCAGCAGUAGGGAAUCUUCGGCAAUGGACGAAAGUCUGACCGAGCAACGCCGCGUGAGUGAAGAAGGUUUUCGGAUCGUAAAGCUCUGUUGUAAGUCAAGAACGUGUGUGAGAGUGGAAAGUUCACACAGUGACGGAGCUA